RNAcentral lists this small RNA (135 nucleotides) under Peribacillus simplex. Its description in RNAcentral is "ydaO/yuaA leader". It matches the Rfam family "c-di-AMP riboswitch aptamer (ydaO/yuaA leader)". Rfam says of the family: This family represents a conserved RNA structure found upstream of the ydaO and yuaA genes in Bacillus subtilis and related genes in other bacteria. The ydaO/yuaA element is thought to act as a genetic "off" switch for the ydaO and yuaA genes in its native state. It is believed that the element may be triggered during osmotic shock leading to activation of ydaO, a predicted amino acid transporter gene, and members of the yuaA-yubG operon which code for KtrA and KtrB K+ transporters. The record is from RNAcentral. Lineage: Bacteria; Bacillati; Bacillota; Bacilli; Caryophanales; Bacillaceae.
CUAAAUCGCUGAAACCAUAGGUACGGGGGAACCAUUUUUGUGGGUUGUUACUAAACCCAAGGGGUGAAUCCUUUAAAGGUAGGGCUACUCAAGGUCCGAAUCCGACAGCUAACCUCGUAAGCGUUAAAUGAGAAG